UGACCAGGUCCCGCCCCUCACUC
This 23-nucleotide microRNA is filed under the name Callorhinchus milii (elephant shark). Its description in RNAcentral is "eshark_NOVEL_56". The record is from RNAcentral. Lineage: Eukaryota; Metazoa; Chordata; Chondrichthyes; Chimaeriformes; Callorhinchidae.